UAAAGUAGAGGUUGCAUUAUUAAAGAGUAAUAUACACGAUGUGCCAGAACACAAAUGAAUGUAUACGAAAGGUGAUGAUGCCGAAGUGGUGUAUAGUCUGGAUAUAAACUGCUGGGCGUAAGUUUAAUAGAUUUGCGACUGUCAUCAGAAUGAUGGAGGGCUACUUA
Molecule: non-coding RNA, 167 nt
Filed under: uncultured Lachnospira sp.
Lineage: Bacteria; Bacillati; Bacillota; Clostridia; Lachnospirales; Lachnospiraceae
Description: Lysine riboswitch
Rfam family: Lysine riboswitch aptamer
About the family: Riboswitches are metabolite binding domains within certain messenger RNAs that serve as precision sensors for their corresponding targets. Allosteric rearrangement of mRNA structure is mediated by ligand binding, and this results in modulation of gene expression.
Source: RNAcentral